RNAcentral lists this ribosomal RNA (465 nucleotides) under Vreelandella stevensii. RNAcentral's name for it is "partial 16S ribosomal RNA". It matches the Rfam family "Bacterial small subunit ribosomal RNA", at positions 338 to 795 of the family's 1533-position model. Lineage: Bacteria; Pseudomonadati; Pseudomonadota; Gammaproteobacteria; Oceanospirillales; Halomonadaceae. The record is from RNAcentral.
CCUACGGGGUGCAGCAGUGGGGAAUAUUGGACAAUGGGCGAAAGCCUGAUCCAGCCAUGCCGCGUGUGUGAAGAAGGCCUUCGGGUUGUAAAGCACUUUCAGUGGGGAAGAAAGCCUUGGGGCUAAUACCCUCGAGGAAGGACAUCACCCACAGAAGAAGCACCGGCUAACUCCGUGCCAGCAGCCGCGGUAAUACGGAGGGUGCGAGCGUUAAUCGGAAUUACUGGGCGUAAAGCGCGCGUAGGCGGUCUGAUAAGCCGGUUGUGAAAGCCCCGGGCUCAACCUGGGAACGGCAUCCGGAACUGUCAGGCUAGAGUGCAGGAGAGGAAGGUAGAAUUCCCGGUGUAGCGGUGAAAUGCGUAGAGACCGGGAGGAAUACCAGUGGCGAAGGCGGUCUUCUGGACUGACACUGACGCUGAGGUGCGAAAGCGUGGGUAGCAAACAGGAUUAGAUACCCCUGUAGUC